This 499-nucleotide ribosomal RNA is filed under the name Staphylococcus aureus. RNAcentral describes it as "bacterial SSU rRNA". It matches the Rfam family "Bacterial small subunit ribosomal RNA", at positions 1 to 482 of the family's 1533-position model. Lineage: Bacteria; Bacillati; Bacillota; Bacilli; Caryophanales; Staphylococcaceae. The record is from RNAcentral.
UUUAUGGAGAGUUUGAUCCUGGCUCAGGAUGAACGCUGGCGGCGUGCCUAAUACAUGCAAGUCGAGCGAACGGACGAGAAGCUUGCUUCUCUGAUGUUAGCGGCGGACGGGUGAGUAACACGUGGAUAACCUACCUAUAAGACUGGGAUAACUUCGGGAAACCGGAGCUAAUACCGGAUGAUAUUUUGAACCGCAUGGUUCAAAAGUGAAAGACGGUCUUGCUGUCACUUAUAGAUGGAUCCGCGCUGCAUUAGCUAGUUGGUAAGGUAACGGCUUACCAAGGCAACGAUGCAUAGCCGACCUGAGAGGGUGAUCGGCCACACUGGAACUGAGACACGGUCCAGACUCCUACGGGAGGCAGCAGUAGGGAAUCUUCCGCAAUGGGCGAAAGCCUGACGGAGCAACGCCGCGUGAGUGAUGAAGGUCUUCGGAUCGUAAAACUCUGUUAUUAGGGAAGAACAUAUGUGUAAGUAACUGUGCACAUCUUGACGGUACCUAA